This 665-nucleotide ribosomal RNA is filed under the name uncultured bacterium. RNAcentral describes it as "partial 16S ribosomal RNA". The record is from RNAcentral.
ACGGUUACCUUGUUACGACUUAGCCCCAGUCACCGGUUUUACCUUAGGGCGCUCCUUGCGGUUGCACACUUCAGGCACUCCCGGCUUCCAUGGCUUGACGGGCGGUGUGUACAAGGCCCGGGAACGUAUUCACCGCGCCGUGGCUGAUGCGCGAUUACUAGCGAAUCCAGCUUCAUGGAGUCGGGUUGCAGACUCCAAUCCGAACUGAGACAGGCUUUGAAGUUCCGCUCUGCGUCGCCGCAUCGCUUCUCUCUGUACCUGCCAUUGUAACACGUGUGUCGCCCCGGACGUAAGGGCCGUGCUGAUUUGACGUCAUCCCCGCCUUCCUCACAACUUGCGCCGGCAGUCUCGCCAGAGUCCCCAACUUUACUUGCUGGUAACUGGCGAUGGGGGUUGCGCUCGUUAUGGCACUUAAGCCGACACCUCACGGCACGAGCUGACGACAACCAUGCAGCACCUCGACGGAUGUCCCGUAGGACUGCCUCCUUUCAGAAACAUCCAUCCGUCGUUUGAGCCCGGGUAAGGUUCCUCGCGUAUCAUCGAAUUAAACCACAUGUUCCUCCGCUUGUGCGGGCCCCCGUCAAUUCCUUUGAGUUUCACCGUUGCCGGCGUACUCCCCAGGUGGAAUACUUAACGCUUUCGCUGUACCACCCAAGCAUCAUUCU